GAUGAACGCUGGCGGCGUGCCUAAUACAUGCAAGUCGAGCGAACAGACGAGGAGCUUGCUCCUCUGACGUUAGCGGCGGGCGGGUGAGUAACACGUGGAUAACCUACCUAUAAGACUGGGAUAACUUCGGGAAACCGGAGCUAAUACCGGAUAAUAUAUUGAACCGCAUGGUUCAAUAGUGAAAGACGGUUUUGCUGUCACUUAUAGAUGGAUCCGCGCCGCAUUAGCUAGUUGGUAAGGUAACGGCUUACCAAGGCAACGAUGCGUAGCCGACCUGAGAGGGUGAUCGGCCACACUGGAACUGGGACACGGUCCAGACUCCUACGGGAGGCAGCAGUAGGGAAUCUUCCGCAAUGGGCGAAAGCCUGACGGAGCAACGCCGCGUGAGUGAUGAAGGUCUUCGGAUCGUAAAACUCUGUUAUUAGGGAAGAACAAAUGUGUAAGUAACUAUGCACGUCUUGACGGUACCUAAUCAGAAAGCCACGGCUAACUACGUG
RNAcentral lists this ribosomal RNA (497 nucleotides) under uncultured bacterium. RNAcentral describes it as "partial 16S ribosomal RNA". It matches the Rfam family "Bacterial small subunit ribosomal RNA", at positions 28 to 507 of the family's 1533-position model. The record is from RNAcentral.